This 117-nucleotide ribosomal RNA is filed under the name Desulfatitalea alkaliphila. The record is from RNAcentral. Lineage: Bacteria; Pseudomonadati; Thermodesulfobacteriota; Desulfobacteria; Desulfobacterales; Desulfosarcinaceae.
UUCGGCGGCAAUGGCGAAGGGGAAACACCCGUUCCCAUCCCGAACACGGAAGUAAAGUCCUUCAGCGCCGAUGGUACUGCACGGGAAGCUGUGUGGGAGAGUAGGUCGCCGCCGAAA